This 497-nucleotide ribosomal RNA is filed under the name uncultured bacterium. Its description in RNAcentral is "partial 16S ribosomal RNA". It matches the Rfam family "Bacterial small subunit ribosomal RNA", at positions 28 to 507 of the family's 1533-position model. The record is from RNAcentral.
GAUGAACGCUGGCGGCGUGCCUAAUACAUGCAAGUCGAGCGAACGGACGAGAAGCUUGCUUCUCUGAUGUUAGCGGCGGACGGGUGAGUAACACGUGGAUAACCUACCUAUAAGACUGGGAUAACUUCGGGAAACCGGAGCUACUACCGGAUAAUAUUUUGAACCGCAUGGUUCAAAAGUGAAAGACGGUCUUUCUGUCACUUAUAGAUGGAUCCGCGCUGCAUUAGCUAGUUGGUAAGAUAACGGCUUACCAAGGCAACGAUGCAUAGCCGACCUGAGAGGGUGAUCGGCCACACUGGAACUGAGACACGGUCCAGACUCCUACGGGAGGCAGCAGUAGGGAAUCUUCCGCAAUGGGCGAAAGCCUGACGGAGCAACGCCGCGUGAGUGAUGAAGGUCUUCGGAUCGUAAAACUCUGUUAUUAGGGAAGAACAUAUGUGUAAGUAACUGUGCACAUCUUGACGGUACCUAAUCAGAAAGCCACGGCUAACUACGUG